AUUCUACCCAUACAGGGAGGGAUGAGAAGCUUCGACUAAGGUUCGACUCGAGCGCCAGCGAGAGAGCGUUGCCGCAGGCAACGACCCGUAGGGCGA
RNAcentral lists this small RNA (96 nucleotides) under Escherichia sp. HH26CH. RNAcentral's name for it is "partial RtT sRNA". It matches the Rfam family "RtT RNA", at positions 1 to 94 of the family's 130-position model. Rfam says of the family: This family represents a bacterial cis-regulatory element known as RtT RNA. The record is from RNAcentral. Lineage: Bacteria; Pseudomonadati; Pseudomonadota; Gammaproteobacteria; Enterobacterales; Enterobacteriaceae.